UGCAAAGGAAAAUCUUAACAUGGAUCGUUUCGCUGGAGUUGAGAACAUGCUUUUUACCCCCUGUCACCUUAUUAAAAUCUAAAAUUAAAAAAAAAUUCUCUAAAUCCUGGAAGUUUGAUCGGCGUCUGGCCCUGAUUUUAAUCCAAAGGAGCUGCUUUUGGAACUGGUGUGUUCGGCUUUGGUGUUUGCCUGCUGAGGAAGAGGCCUGCUCUUUUCUCCAGUCUUGACAGAGAGCCCUGUAUUCUGCCUGGCAAAAUAAGACUGUGCAGCCCUUCUUCCCCAGAAUUCCAGCAACGAUGCUCUCAAGGGACCUCUCGAAGUGGUGGCUGAAGUUGCAAUGUUGUGAACACGGCGCAGGUUAACUCUGCAAAAAGGCGUUUUCUUGGCCUCUCAGAUAACCUUUUCAACCCACAAGGCUGAAAUAACUUCUCUUAACUGAAAUGACCCCAGCAGAACUAUUCACUAGAAGACAUCCUCCUUGAUUUUUUGUAAGAUGACUGGAGUUGUAGGUAUAAGGUGACCAAAUUUGAAGACAGUAUUCAAAGUGAAGAUGUGCCACUGAUUUAUAUAAUAGCAUUAUAAUAUUUUCCAUAUAAUUCUCUAAAACUCUUUUCUUUGUACAAACCCUGCAAGAUUCUUUUAAUUCUUUGAACUAUAGUGCCUUUUAACAUCUGUAGUUUACUCUGAUCAGAUUUUAACAAAGGAAUAAAAGGCUCCAUUUUUCACAUAGAAUUUUAUUUAUUGUUUGAACUUUAG
Long non-coding RNA from Poecile atricapillus (Black-capped chickadee), 756 nucleotides. RefSeq lists it as uncharacterized. The record is from RefSeq and is a predicted model, not a curated record. NCBI's taxonomy places the organism in Eukaryota, Metazoa, Chordata, Aves, Passeriformes, Paridae. The transcript is spliced from 6 exons.